Onychostoma macrolepis is the source of this 1274-nucleotide long non-coding RNA. RefSeq lists it as uncharacterized. The transcript is spliced from 3 exons. NCBI's taxonomy places the organism in Eukaryota, Metazoa, Chordata, Actinopteri, Cypriniformes, Cyprinidae. The record is from RefSeq and is a predicted model, not a curated record.
AUCAUAGCACGUUCACAUCCACGUGACUGAAUCACAUGCCCGCGUUUUGGAUCCGAGACAGACGGUUGCGAUUGCCACACGUGGAUGCAAAGUUAUUGCGUACGGUUGACUGCAUUUAGGAAAUCUCCCAAGAAGAGGAACAGUUUGAAGAUUGCCAGGAGGACAACCGCAGUGACACAACGCAACACACCCUCAAGAUUCUGGUUGUACAUGGAGCUGAUGGAAAGGAUCCAGUGGAUGUAUCCAUUAUUCUAGAAGGCAAGGAGAUCUUGCCGGGAUGCCACAAUACUGCUAAAGCUUGUGCCCUGCUUAUGGGACUCAUUCAUGCCCUUAACCUUGCAUACCCCAGAGCACUGCUUUACACUUUCGAGGUGUUUCAGAAUUUUUUUCUAGAAUUGGAUGCGAUUAAGCUGUCUCCAAAAAUACAAGCUUUAAAGUCAAAGUUGUUUUAUUAAAUGCUUUUGCCAUUGCAAGUACUGCACAUUUUUAGAUGCCAGCACUCCCCAACUAUGUUUGAAAUCUUCCAGGUUCUAUUGGACUAUUUGCACAGACAUAAUGUUUUUCAGAUCACUUGUGUACAUAAUUAGCAGUUUUGCUUUUGAAUUUAGUUUCACCAUUGUGAACAGUGGUGGGAAGACACUUGCCUGUUAGAACUGUUUUCAGCUUUGUGCCAACUAAGGCAUCUGGUCUUUUUUUCUUUAUUGUCAUGUUUAGAGCACUAGUCUAGAGUGCCGUGUUAAUUGUUGAAACUGCAUUGUUUUAGACUAUUUUAAAUUUAACUGAAUUCGUAAAAGCACUACUCAAUAUCUGUUGGAUGCAGAAGCUGUCUCUUUUAAGAAAUUAGUUUUGACAUUAAUUUAGCAACAUUGCUUUAUAUAGAAAUAUUGACAUCUUUAACUGUUAAUCUAAAUAUUUGUAUGCAUUUUAUGCAUUAAUGCUUUAUAUUUUAUGCAUUUAAUGUAAUGUUUAGAGCACAAGUCCAGAGUCCAGAGCUAUGUUGAAACUGCACUAUUUGAGAGGAUUGCUACUUUUAUUGAAAUAGUAAAAAAAUUGUAUCCAUGCAUUAUAUCCAUGAUGUUUAAACCUCAUCACAUGUUUUUGUAUUCCUUUUGGGGUUAAAACACUUUCAGGUCUUGACAAAUUUAGUUGUUUUCAGGACUCCAAUCCCUAGGGUAACAGUUGUCAUUUAAAAAACUUAGGUUUUGCUUUAUGUAACUUUAAAAACAAUAAAUUUGUGUGACUGAGUCAUUGAUUAAUGUUGGAACAAAAUAAAC